This 430-nucleotide ribosomal RNA is filed under the name Daphnia galeata. Its description in RNAcentral is "partial 12S rRNA". The record is from RNAcentral. Lineage: Eukaryota; Metazoa; Arthropoda; Branchiopoda; Diplostraca; Daphniidae.
UUCAAUUUUUGAAGUUUCUUUAGCUUUUUUGUUGGGUGAAAUCAGUAUAAGGAGCUCUUUCUUCUUUAAAAAUUAGUAGGAACUAAAAAACUUCGAUUUAAAACCAGGAUUAGAUACCCUGUUAUUCUCAGUUAUUCUUAAACAGGGUAGUAAAAGUUGUUCUUCAAACCCAAAGAUUUUGGCGGCACUUUAUCCAAAUAGAGGAGCUUGUCCCUUAAUCGAUAGUCCUCGUUUUAUCUUUCCUUCAUUUGUAAAGCUUGUAUACCGCCGUUGUCAGAUUACUUUUAGAGAAUGUUUUCAAGUUAAAAGACUUUAUAACUUCAGGUCAAGGUGCAGUUUAUAUGGGGGUGGAGGUGAGCUACAGUUUCCUUUAGAAAAUACGGAUUCUAAGCUUUGAAGCUAGCUGAAGGUGGAUUUACUAGUAAAGUAA